GCUGGCUGGGCUCAUAUAUCAAUUAGUCCAUCAGUGAGCAUUUAUUAACCAUCUACACAUGCUAAGUCCCUUAGAUAUGAACAGUAAACAGCUUCUGCCCUUGAAGAGCCUGCAUUCUACUAGAGAAGGCACAUACACACACAUCAAAAUUUAAGUGGGUAUGUUUGAAAAUGGGAUCAUGAAGUCACCAGGUAUGUUUCAAGAGGUCCCAGAUUGUCGUAUAGACGUGAGAAGAGAAGAUAUGAGACUUCCUGUCUUCUACAUCACUAUUCCAUGGUUUGGGGUUCCUUCUUGUGACUAGGGCCAUGGGAACAUAGCAUCUCUCUCCUCCCUUCCCAUAUCCCAUACUCCUCCUCAGGGAACUGAGCAUUUCAUCACAGUGUGUUUGUGGAGAACAGAGGUCAUGGGGAAUAGAUCACCCUUCAAAUACACUGGCUCGAAACAAAAAGACAUUUGCCCGAAGAGACAAAUUAUAUUGGAAGAGAUUGGUCCAAGGAUAAAGAAGGUCACCCACACAGAUGACUGCUUCUCAGAGGAAUCAGAAUUUUUCAUCAGAACAUGUGAAUCAUUUCUAACUGGGCUGGCUAAAGUUGUAGCUGUUGAGAGGAGAAGGGUGGAGACCAAGCUCUUAUUGGCUGAGAGAGAGUGGGUGAUAAGGCUGUACUUAGCUCUGGUAAUUUUGAAGUUCCUCUAAAGGCCCUUAAGUCCUUCUUAUAUGGAUCAGUGAUUCUUCUGGGAAGUUGGCAAGAAGUCUCUGACAGGAAGGCCUGGUGAUGCUGGUAAGUGGUGGAAGAGGAAGGGCCAGAAGGACAGUGGAAAAGCAGGGAGAGGCUGGAGGUCAGUCAUCCAGAGAUGCUCCAUUUGGAAACAUUCCUGAAAAGAAUCCAAGGCUGAAAGAUAUACAAGUAGGGAGACCAAGGAGGUUCAGUACUGACCAGAACAGAGUAAAAGUCCACAGUUUUGUGGCUGGCAGAUGUAAUGAGAAGUGGUGUGAGCGUCAGGCAUCUCUGACAAUGUCUCGGCAUGUGGAAGAGGCUAGAAGCCUGCUCCAAGGAGUUAGGACAACAUGUACCUCAAGUGCCUUGGAUUGAUCUUGCUGACAUCAACAUUCUGUAACUAGUUGUGGGCGGCUAACUGCCUGGUGAAGAGGAGGCUUUUUUGGCAAUGAAAGCAUUCAAAAGACUUGAGUUGGGUUUACCCAUUCACUGACAGCAUAUGGUGAGAGACAAUGCUAAGGAGAGAGGCCUUGGGCCCUCCCUACCAAUGCAAAUAUGUGAAUACAUGCCUAAAUUCUUUGCCAGCUACAGCAUUUGUCUUUCCAUUUUGGGAGAAGGGCCUGAAUAAUCGUACCUUAUGAAGUUUAAAUGAUCAUGGAGUUGUCCCAGGACCUCAGUGUUCUAGAGUCUAAGUCAGGGAUGGGGAACUUGAGACCUUGAGGCCACAUGUGGCCCUCUAGAUCCUCAAGUUCCCCACCCCUGGUUUAGGUUUUGCAGCCGUCUCAUCAUCAACUCCCCAAAGAGCAAGAGAUGACCUUUAUGACCUAAUUAGAAAUAGCUGGAUUGGGGCAGCGAGGUGGCGCAGUGGAUAGAGCACUGGCCAUGGAUUUAGGAAGACCUGAGUUCAAAUCCAUCUCAGGCACAUAACAUAUACUAGCUGUGUGGCCCUGGGCAAGUCACUUAACCCCAUUGCCUAGCCAAAAAAAAAAAAAAGAAAAGAAGAAGUAGCUAGAUUGAGGAUUCAUCUGUCAGUCAGAUUAAUUUCUAGAUGUGAACUUGGUGGGACCAAUGUUAUGUAGAAAUUGAGCUAAGAUUAAGCUUGUUCUCCCAAGAGAUGUAGGUGGGAUAGAAGAUGGUAUAAUGUCAAGAUGUUGGGGGUGGGGGAUUUUUGUAGUUUUGUUAUUGCUUUGAAGCAAGAACAUUUUGAAGCAAAAAAGCAUUUUGCUUCUUUGAAGCAAAUAUCCCUUUGUCAAAAGGCCAAUUGGUGUUAGAUAGUUAAAUGGAACUGAGAUACUGGUUAAUUGACACCUAACCUUAGGGGGAACAUACCCAGUGGGAGCCUGAACAGAGGGAAUUAGAGAAGAGAUUCCUCAAA
Long non-coding RNA from Phascolarctos cinereus (koala), 2091 nucleotides. Lineage: Eukaryota; Metazoa; Chordata; Mammalia; Diprotodontia; Phascolarctidae. The record is from Ensembl.